GAUGAACGCUGGCGGCGUGCCUAAUACAUGCAAGUCGAGCGAACAGACGAGGAGCUUGCUCCUCUGACGUUAGCGGCGGACGGGUGAGUAACACGUGGAUAACCUACCUAUAAGACUGGGAUAACUUCGGGAAACCGGAGCUAAUACCGGAUAAUAUAUUGAACCGCAUGGUUCAAUAGUGAAAGACGGUUUUGCUGUCACUUAUAGAUGGAUCCGCGCCGCAUUAGCUAGUUGGUAAGGUAACGGCUUACCAAGGCAACGAUGCGUAGCCGACCUGAGAGGGUGAUCGGCCACACUGGAACUGAGACACGGUCCAGACUCCUACGGGAGGCAGCAGUAGGGAAUCUUCCGCAAUGCGCGAAAGCCUGACGGAGCAACGCCGCGUGAGUGAUGAAGGUCUUCGGAUCGUAAAACUCUGUUAUUAGGGAAGAACAAAUGUGUAAGUAACUAUGCACGUCUUGACGGUACCUAAUCAGAAAGCCACGGCUAGCUACGUG
This 497-nucleotide ribosomal RNA is filed under the name uncultured bacterium. RNAcentral describes it as "partial 16S ribosomal RNA". It matches the Rfam family "Bacterial small subunit ribosomal RNA", at positions 28 to 507 of the family's 1533-position model. The record is from RNAcentral.